GACGAACGCUGGCGGCGUGCCUAACACAUGCAAGUCAACUUGACUGAAGGAGCAAUCUGACAGUAGAGUGGCGCAAGGGUGCGUAACGCGUAAGUAACUUGCCCCAAGGUAAGGAAUAACGUCGAGAAAUCGGCGCUAAUACCUCAUAAUGCAGCGGAUCCGCAUGGAUAUGUUGUUAAAGGUUUACCGCCUUGGGAUAGGCUUGCGUCUGAUUAGCUAGUUGGUGUGGUAACGGCACACCAAGGCUACGAUCAGUAACUGGUCUGAGAGGAUGAUCAGUCACACUGGAACUGAGACACGGUCCAGACUCCUACGGGAGGCAGCAGUGAGGAAUAUUGGGCAAUGCUCGAAAGAGUGACCCAGCAACGCCGCGUGGAGGAUGAAGGUAUUCUAUAUCGUAAACUCCUGUGAGAGCAGACGAAAGACAGAUUAUUAAUUUGGAUGACUGUAUGCUCAGAGGAAGCCCCGGCUAACUACGUG
RNAcentral lists this ribosomal RNA (480 nucleotides) under uncultured bacterium. RNAcentral describes it as "bacterial SSU rRNA". It matches the Rfam family "Bacterial small subunit ribosomal RNA", at positions 28 to 507 of the family's 1533-position model. The record is from RNAcentral.